UUCCGGUUGAUCCCGCCGGACCCCACUGCUAUCGAGAUGGGACUAAGGUAUGCUAGUCGAACGACCAGAACUAUGUCUGGGAGUGGCACACUGCUCAGUAACACGUAGCUAACCUACCCUUAGGACGUGGAUACCCCCGAGAAAUUGGGGUUAAUCCGCGAUAGAUGUAAUGUCCUGGAAUGGUAUUACGUCUAAAGGUAUUUCAUACAUGUUUGAAAUAUGCCUAAGGAUGGGGCUGCGGCCGAUCAGGCUGUUGGUGAGGUAAUGGCUCACCAAACCUUUGACCGGUACGGGCCAUGAGAGUGGUAGCCCGGAGAUGGACACUGAGACAAGGGUCCAGGCCCUAAGGGGCGCAGCAACCGCGAAACCUCCACAAUGCACUCACGUGCGAUGGGGCUAUCUCGAGUGCCACCUGAUGAAGGUGGCUUUUCCUAGGUCUUCAAAGCCUUGGGAAUAAGAGGGGGGCAAGACUGGUGUCAGCCGCCGCGGUAACACCAGCCCCUCGAGUGGUGGGGAUGAUUAUUUGGCCUAAAGCGUCCGUAGCCGGCCGAGCAAGUCUUCCGUUAAAUCCAGCGUCUCAAGCGUUGGACUGCGGGAGAUACUGCAGGGCUAGAGAGUGGGAGAGGUCAGCGGUAUUCUGGGGGUAGGGGCGAAAUCCUUUGAUCCCCGGAGGACCACCAGUGGCGAAGGCUGCUGACUAGAACACGUCUGACGGUCAGGGACGAAAGCUGGGGUAGCGAACCGGAUUAGAUACCCGGGUAGUCCCAGCCGUAAACGAUGCAUGCUAGGUGUUGGGUUGGCCACGCG
RNAcentral lists this ribosomal RNA (807 nucleotides) under uncultured archaeon. RNAcentral describes it as "bacterial SSU rRNA". It matches the Rfam family "Archaeal small subunit ribosomal RNA", at positions 1 to 789 of the family's 1478-position model. The record is from RNAcentral.